AGAUAAAAUAUAAAGUAAAUGAUGUUGUUAUAUUUGGUGAGAUGGUGAGCAUCGAGGUUUGUUGCGAUGUCAUAGAUUUGAUGUACGAGAACGAUGAGAUUUCGCAGAUGAGAAUUCGGUGUUUUUGGAUGAGGGGCUUCACUUAGAUGAAGAUCAAAUCGGCGAUAUUCAAUUAUUCAUCAUCAAAUAGUUGAUAUUAGAAAUGGUUCAGGGAGCAUGCGCCCAGUUCCAAGUACCUCCUUGUUCCCUCAAAGCAUCUGGUCUGCUUCAUCCAAAAUCCAAACCGGUCAUGGGUCUGGCAGUCCAACAUCUGUCAACAGUAAUGGAAGUCCAUCACUUAGCAGUAAUGGAUCUAUUCUAGAGAAUGGUACACAUGCUAAUGGGUUUCUUGAGAACGGGAAGAAAGAAGAAAAUGGCAGGUUGUUUAGGAGAUUGACUGGAGCAGACAUGUACGAGAGCACCCGAUAUGACACAAUCCUACUAAAAGAGGAUCUGAAGAACACUACUUGGCUGCAUAGCGUGGAUGAUAUAUCUAAUCAGUGUUCCAUUUUUGAAAAUGGGUUUGAGCCUCUGCCAUAACCAUUUGGCCUCUCAUGAUUCGUUCCUCGUUUCGGUAUUUUACAUAUAUCCGAUCUAUCAAAUUGAUUGUAUCAAAAGUUAUCUGAUUAUCUCUGCGUGAUCGAAUGUCUCAUUUUUGCUUGUAGAAAAGCUGAAUGUUUAUUGAUUGAUUGUUUUGCAAAGAAAUGUCUAGGUUUCCCAUAUUCUCGAGUCCUGAUGUAAUUGAUAAGUACAUUAUAACUGAAUGCCCUGGAUACUCCAGGCAAUAGUCAUAUAAUUCUGUACAUUUGAUUCAUUUCGCAAUGAUAUAUAUUGAUGAUUAUGUGUUAUCAUUUAA
Long non-coding RNA from Chenopodium quinoa (quinoa), 895 nucleotides. RefSeq lists it as uncharacterized. The transcript has 3 exons. Lineage: Eukaryota; Viridiplantae; Streptophyta; Magnoliopsida; Caryophyllales; Amaranthaceae. The record is from RefSeq and is a predicted model, not a curated record.